CAGCAGCCGCGGGAAUACGAAGGGUGCAAGCGUUACUCGGAAUUACUGGGCGUAAAGCGUGCGUAGGUGGUGGUUUAAGUCCGUUGUGAAAGCCCUGGGCUCAACCUGGGAAUUGCAGUGGAUACUGGGUCACUAGAGUGUGGUAGAGGAUAGUGGAAUUUCCGGUGUAGCAGUGAAAUGCGUAGAGAUCGGAAGGAACAUCUGUGGCGAAGGCGACUAUCUGGGCCAACACUGACACUGAGGCACGAAAGCGUGGGGAGCAAACAGGAUUAGAUACCCCGUAGUCCCUGUCUCUUAUACC
RNAcentral lists this ribosomal RNA (301 nucleotides) under uncultured bacterium. Its description in RNAcentral is "partial 16S ribosomal RNA". It matches the Rfam family "Bacterial small subunit ribosomal RNA", at positions 509 to 808 of the family's 1533-position model. The record is from RNAcentral.